Long non-coding RNA from Symphalangus syndactylus (siamang), 470 nucleotides. RefSeq lists it as uncharacterized. The record is from RefSeq and is a predicted model, not a curated record. NCBI's taxonomy places the organism in Eukaryota, Metazoa, Chordata, Mammalia, Primates, Hylobatidae.
CUUUCCAGAAAUCCCUAUUCUGUGCUCCUGCUUAUACAGCACUUCAUUGUCUUCUACAUGCAAGCAGGGGAGCCACAAAGGUACAGAAGAGUUCUCAUGGCCUGUCAAUUCUGAGGUCUUUCUGGGGACUCCUUCAAAGAACUCAUUGUUCCAGCUAGGCCAACGACCCUCUAAUGACUUGAUUGCUUCAGUAAUCAACAUAAAAUGUAUAAAUGAAGAGAAAUUCAUUACUAAUUAUUUCUCUUCUCGGAGGUCAGAUGAAUAAGUGAUAUGCCUUUGCAAAUAAGGAAGGAAAAUGAUUCCCUCCACAGGAUUCCAUUUCUCCCCUAAACCCAAAGAAAGGUGCCUGCUUCCCCUUCACAUCCGACUAUGAUUGUACGUUUUCUGAGGCUUCCCCAGCCAUGUGGAACUAUGGUUGCCAAAAGACAUUUCUGCCCCAAAUCUUUGAGUCAGCAGCUCCAUGUAGGCAC